RNAcentral lists this transfer RNA (54 nucleotides) under Camallanus cotti. Its description in RNAcentral is "tRNA-Ser". The record is from RNAcentral. Lineage: Eukaryota; Metazoa; Nematoda; Chromadorea; Rhabditida; Camallanidae.
AAUAAUUUAUUUUUGUAUUUUCUAAAUUCAAAUAGGGCUUAGUUCCGAUUAUUG